GAACGCAUACUUUAGAGUAUGAGUGGCAGACGGGUGAGUAACGCGUGAGACAUCUACCUUACAGCCCGGUAUAAAUAUCUAUAUAGAGGCGAAAAUCUUUAUAUAUGAGUGAAUCCCGGAUAUUUUGAAUAAAAAAAAAGGCAAAGAACCGUUGUAAGAUGAGCUCGCGUAGGAUUAGGUAGUUGGUAAGGUAAAAGCUUAUCCAAGCCGAUGAUCCUUAGCUGUUCUGAGAGGAUGAUCAGCCACACUGGGACUGAGACACGGCCCAGACGCUUUCGAGCGGCAGCAGUGAGGAAUUUUGGACAAUGGGCGAAAGCCUGAUCCAGCUAUAUCGCAUGAAUGAAGAAGGCUCAAUUGGUUGUAAAAUUCGUAGUUUCAUUGUAGAUUAUGACAUUGAUGAAAUGAAUAGUCCCGGCCAACUCCGUGC
Molecule: ribosomal RNA, 427 nt
Filed under: uncultured Trebouxia photobiont
Lineage: Eukaryota; Viridiplantae; Chlorophyta; Trebouxiophyceae; Trebouxiales; Trebouxiaceae
Description: bacterial SSU rRNA
Rfam family: Bacterial small subunit ribosomal RNA
Source: RNAcentral